Molecule: long non-coding RNA, 1498 nt
Organism: Triticum aestivum (bread wheat)
Lineage: Eukaryota; Viridiplantae; Streptophyta; Magnoliopsida; Poales; Poaceae
Exons: 5
Source: RefSeq, a predicted model, not a curated record
GGCGACUAGGUCUUCUGGGAAGAAGAUACAAGGGAGGGAGACGAGGUGAGAUGGAGAGAAUAGAAGGGAGAAUAGGGACUGCGUGGGUACCUGCUGCUGGUCCGACGGCGGCUCCGGUCAUCAGAUCAGGCCAACUCUUGAUGGAUUUCCAAUGUGUUGCUGGGCUCCCAAUUUUUUCCGUCGUGCAGUUGCUCCCCGUCUCCCUCUGUCGUCCCAAGAUGGUCCGGCUGGGUGCUGUCCUGACGGCUGAGCGUGUGCUAUCCACGGAACACAGCUCCUCCACCUAGUCCCUCCUCCGUAACGCCGGUGAGGACACUACUUCGUCUGAACCGAUUAUCACAACCACGCACAGGAGCUCUAUGGCACAUGUAGCAGGUCUUGGGCAUGAUGGCCGGACGCGAUGAGGAGGACAUACUGGAUCCCCAUGGACGCCAAGGAUUCGAGGACAUUGGCAGAUGUAGAGGAGGCAAUGAGGACGGAGAUGAUUGCGGCACACAAUUUAAAUAAACUAGAAUAUCCUGAAAAUUAUAUUUGGUGUAUAGAAUUCAGUUUUAGUCUUUGAGUACAUUUUCAUGAUUCGCUUAUUCCAGUAGUGAGUAAAAAUAUGUAAAACUACGUGACUUGUAAAUUUUUGAGUCUGUUGUGCGUCCCAACGAUUCCACCGGCAUCGGCCCUCCCCUACCGUGGUGCAGACUGCAGUAUUAGCGGUCUCCUUGGAGUCCUGAAGCAGCUCAAGGGCAUCGUCCUUGGUGCGCCUCCUCAAGGCUUGAUGCUUUCUACAGGAAAAAAUGAUUCUUUUCUUUGAGAUGAGGAAAAUUACUUCCCUUUCUACAGGAAAAGAUGGUUCUGUUAGAUAAAUGUCUUCCCAAGUUAAAGGCACAUGGCUCCGAAGUACUAAUAUUCUCUGAGGGGCACCAUAACAUAUGAAAAUUUUGAAGAGCUUUGUGAAGAUUUGUGGGAGCAGCUCCGACUCCAAUUAAAGAAGUUCCACGCAGCGGGCAUGAAGAUUGGUCACAUCUAUAUGUUUAGUUGUGCUGCAGUGAUUUACAGCCAGGGUUUACAGAUUGAUUUGAGAAAGUAUUUAACGCAAUUGGUCUCUUGGCAUAGGCUCAAGUAUAAAACCGAUAUGUAAUAUCUCCAUAUGUUUGUGCAAAUUGAUUUUGUAAGCUACUCUGAAAACUUUAUUAUUUUUUCACUAUUGAUGUACUUGGUGCUAACUUCCAUUUUCUCUCAACAGGACAUGUGCUAUUCUGAAAAUGGAGCUUCUCUAUUGGAUGGCAGCUCAUGAUGGUAGUUUCAGAUAUGAAGCUAAGGAAAGCGUGCCUCAUAAUUCAUUAGAUGUAUCCCAGUAGGGCCAAUUAGAUAUUGUUGGUUGUAAAUGACAUGAGUUUUUAGCUUUCAUAAAAUCUAGAUUUGUACUCUUUAACAAUAAGCUGUGGAGGAGAGUGGUCUUAAAUGUGCUGGUUGAAUUUACCAAUGUUGGUUAUUUUGGUUUUAC